CAAGCACAGCCACAGAUGUCUCGACAAAUACAACAGCUACACCUGUUGCAACAUCAACAACAAAAGGAAUCACAACCACUACUUCCAUCUCAGUCGCUGUUCCUGUUACCACAGUACCUGGUUCUGGCAUCACAAUACCAACUGGAGAACCCGUCACUGUUCCUGUUACUGGUUCUACAACUACAACCACAUCUGUGGCCCCCUCAACUACUGUUUCAAGCAUAGCACCAACAUUGGCUAUGACAACUACCAGCACAACUCCAACAACUACUUCUACUACUACGACAACAACUACCACAACGACUGCACAUCUUGCAGUGGUUACAUUACAAGUCACCAUACAAGAGGUUUUUGUACCAGCUUUGAGUAAUCCUCAAAGCACAGAAUUUCAAACACUUGCGGUAUCCUUUACUUCAGUGUGUGACGUGAUCUAUCGAGCAAAAUAUGGGAUAUUUUUCAUCCGGACGAUUGUCAUUUCAUUCAUACCAGUGUUCCGUUCUCGUAUGGCAGCAGACACACAGGUGGUGCUGGAAGUGGUGUUCAAUGAGACCGCCAUUGCAACUAUCACUAAUGCAACUAUGCCCAAGGACAUUGACGUUAAAGAUACACUGAAAGAGGCUGUGACCAAUCCAAACUCUACCUUCAACCUCUCUGUGGUUCCAAACUCCAUCACUAUUAUCAAUGCCCCUGCUACAACAACUGUUCCUGCUACAACUGCCAUAACAACAGCGCCUCCUCCAGUGGUGGAAUUACAAGUCACCUUGCAGCAAGUUUUUGUACCAGCCUUGACUGACCCUCAAAGCACAGAAUUCAAAACACUAUCAGUAACCAUUACU
Long non-coding RNA from Oncorhynchus masou masou (cherry salmon), 836 nucleotides. RefSeq lists it as uncharacterized. NCBI's taxonomy places the organism in Eukaryota, Metazoa, Chordata, Actinopteri, Salmoniformes, Salmonidae. The transcript is spliced from 5 exons. The record is from RefSeq and is a predicted model, not a curated record.